GACGAACGCUGGCGGCGUGCCUAAUACAUGCAAGUCGAACGCAUUUUCUUUCACCGUAGCUUGCUACACCGAAAGAAAAUGAGUGGCGAACGGGUGAGUAACACGUGGGUAACCUGCCCAUCAGCGGGGGAUAACACUUGGAAACAGGUGCUAAUACCGCAUAAUUCCAUUUACCGCAUGGUAGAUGGAUGAAAGGCGCUUUUGCGUCACUGAUGGAUGGACCCGCGGUGCAUUAGCUAGUUGGUGGGGUAACGGCCUACCAAGGCUGCGAUGCAUAGCCGACCGGAGAGGGUGAGCGGCCACACUGGGACUGAGACACGGCCCAGACUCCUACGGGAGGCAGCCGUAGGGAAUCUUCGGCCAUGGACACAAGUCUGACCGAGCAACGCCGCGUGAGUGAAGAAGGUUUUCGGAUCGUAAAACUCUGUUGUUAGAGAAGAACAAGGAUGAGAGUGGAAAGUUCAUCCCUUGACGGUAUCUAACCAGAAAGCCACGGCUAACUACGUG
RNAcentral lists this ribosomal RNA (507 nucleotides) under uncultured bacterium. RNAcentral describes it as "partial 16S ribosomal RNA". It matches the Rfam family "Bacterial small subunit ribosomal RNA", at positions 28 to 507 of the family's 1533-position model. The record is from RNAcentral.